Molecule: ribosomal RNA, 1110 nt
Filed under: Geobacillus stearothermophilus
Lineage: Bacteria; Bacillati; Bacillota; Bacilli; Caryophanales; Anoxybacillaceae
Description: bacterial SSU rRNA
Rfam family: Bacterial small subunit ribosomal RNA
Source: RNAcentral
GCUUGCCUUGGUUCGGUCAGCGGCGGACGGGUGAGUAACACGUGGGCAACCUGCCCGCAAGACCGGGAUAACUCCGGGAAACCGGAGCUAAUACCGGAUAACACCGAAGACCGCAUGGUCUUCGGUUGAAAGGCGGCCUUUGGGCUGUCACUUGCGGAUGGGCCCGCGGCGCAUUAGCUAGUUGGUGAGGUAACGGCUCACCAAGGCGACGAUGCGUAGCCGGCCUGAGAGGGUGACCGGCCACACUGGGACUGAGACACGGCCCAGACUCCUACGGGAGGCAGCAGUAGGGAAUCUUCCGCAAUGGGCGAAAGCCUGACGGAGCGACGCCGCGUGAGCGAAGAAGGCCUUCGGGUCGUAAAGCUCUGUUGUGAGGGACGAAGGAGCGCCGUUUGAAGAAGGCGGCGCGGUGACGGUACCUCACGAGAAAGCCCCGGCUAACUACGUGCCAGCAGCCGCGGUAAUACGUAGGGGGCGAGCGUUGUCCGGAAUUAUUGGGCGUAAAGCGCGCGCAGGCGGUCUCUUAAGUCUGAUGUGAAAGCCCACGGCUCAACCGUGGAGGGUCAUUGGAAACUGGGGGACUUGAGGGCAGGAGAGGAGAGCGGAAUUCCACGUGUAGCGGUGAAAUGCGUAGAGAUGUGGAGGAACACCAGUGGCGAAGGCGGCUCUCUGGCCUGCACCUGACGCUGAGGCGCGAAAGCGUGGGGAGCAAACAGGAUUAGAUACCCUGGUAGUCCACGCCGUAAACGAUGAGUGCUAAGUGUUAGAGGGGUCACACCCUUUAGUGCUGCAGCUAACGCGAUAAGCACUCCGCCUGGGGGAGUACGGCCGCAAGGCUGAAACUCAAAGGAAUUGACGGGGGCCCGCACAAGCGGUGGAAGCAUGUGGUUUAAUUCGAAGCAACGCGAAGAACCUUACCAGGUCUUGACAUCCCCUGACACCCAAGAGAUUGGGCGUUCCCCUUCGGGGGGACAGGGUGACAGGUGGUGCAUGGUUGUCGUCAGCUCGUGUCGUGAGAUGUUUGGGUUAAGUCCCGCAACGAGCGCAACCCUCGCCUCUAGUUGCCAGCAUUCGGUUGGGCACUCUAAAAGGACUGCCGGGACAAUUCGA